Long non-coding RNA from Mauremys mutica (yellowpond turtle), 468 nucleotides. RefSeq lists it as uncharacterized. The transcript has 3 exons. Lineage: Eukaryota; Metazoa; Chordata; Testudines; Geoemydidae. The record is from RefSeq and is a predicted model, not a curated record.
GUUUAAUCAAGUCUUCUGCAAGUUUCCAUCUUUCUGAACUAAUUUCUUCUAGUCAAGAUAGUGGGGAAAGCAGUAUAGGCAACAGCACCAGAAAAAUGAAAAGAAAUGAAAGAAAGCAGGCCCACAAAUCAACUAGUGAGAAUUAAUCUUGACUUCCUGUACCAACCUACUGUAUGGCAUCCGUGUGAUCUUUUAAAUUGCUUCCUUAGUCCAGCACUCCAGAGGCAGUAAAUUGAGUCAUCAAGCAGAAAGGGAGGAAAAAGGAAGUUCAAACAGGUGGAAAAAAGCAGCAGGGAACAUCUUUCCACAUAGACUCUUUGUCUUCUGAAUCUCAGCUGGAAAUGUUUUUCAAGAGGGAGACUGGAACUAUAAAAGGAGGAGCAAACAUCCCACAGCAUCCUUCUCUCUCUCCCCCAUCCAUUGCAUUGACAGUGCCUGAAGCAACAAAGAAAGUAUUUGUUAGAUACC